GACGAACGCUGGCGGCGUGCCUAAUACAUGCAAGUUGAGCGAUGAAGAUUGGUGCUUGCCCCAAUUUGAAGAGCAGCGAACGGGUGAGUAACGCGUGGGGAAUCUGCCUUUGAGCGGGGGACAACAUUUGGAAACGAAUGCUAAUACCGCAUAACAACUUUAAACAUAAGUUUUAAGUUUGAAAGAUGCAAUUGCAUCACUCAAAGAUGAUCCCGCGUUGUAUUAGCUAGUUGGUGAGGUAAAGGCUCACCAAGGCGAUGAUACAUAGCCGACCUGAGAGGGUGAUCGGCCACAUUGGGACUGAGGCACGGCCCAAACCCCUACGGGAGGCAGCAGUAGGGAAUCUUCGGCAAUGGACGAAAGUCUGACCGAGCAACGCCGCGUGAGUGAAGAAGGUUUUCGGAUCGUAAAACUCUGUUGGUAGAGAAGAACGUUGGUGAGAGUGGAAAGCUCAUCAAGUGACGGUAACUACCCAGAAAGGGACGGCUAACUACGUG
Molecule: ribosomal RNA, 497 nt
Filed under: uncultured bacterium
Lineage: Bacteria
Description: partial 16S ribosomal RNA
Rfam family: Bacterial small subunit ribosomal RNA
Source: RNAcentral